This is a long non-coding RNA of Sarcophilus harrisii (Tasmanian devil), 514 nucleotides long. RefSeq lists it as uncharacterized. The transcript has 3 exons. The record is from RefSeq and is a predicted model, not a curated record. NCBI's taxonomy places the organism in Eukaryota, Metazoa, Chordata, Mammalia, Dasyuromorphia, Dasyuridae.
GGUUUACAACAGCCAAGGUGAGAGGUGAUAUGGAGUUAUUUCUACAUUCUCUCUAGGACUGAUAGAAGUUAUUUGAGUGAAGAGAAGGCUCUGAUGAGAUCACCAUGAGAAAAAGCUAUGGAUUAAAAAAAAGAUCCAACAAAGAGUAUUGGAGUUCACCACAGUUGGGGGGCUACUAUAGAUGGAUAAUACAUCAAAAGAGAUUGAAAUGAAGAUCCCUUCAGUGAUGAGCCUCUUCUAAGGACACAUUUGGCACUUUCUUUCAUAUGCUGGUUCAUCCAGUGAGUUGCUUCUCAGUUGCGUAAUGAAUAUUUGCGCUGGUAACUGCAGCAGGUGUUUAGGCUCUUGGCAGAGUUGUGUCUUGGAAGAUAACCAACCCAGCUUGCAGCAUAUCCUGUGAAAGGAAAUUUCAAUUCUACCAUAAGUUUCUACUGUUAAUAUAUAAUAUGUGUCAGAGAAUCUAGGAGAUUCUAUUGAUUCUGAUGAAUGCACUUUUUUUUUUAAAAUUUUAAAA